RNAcentral lists this long non-coding RNA (630 nucleotides) under Gallus gallus (chicken). Its description in RNAcentral is "long non-coding RNA NONGGAT005646". The record is from RNAcentral. Lineage: Eukaryota; Metazoa; Chordata; Aves; Galliformes; Phasianidae.
GGAGCAUGCUCGCUGACUGACUGCUGCGGCAGCCAAUGAGCCCUCGAGCUGAGGAUGAAGGGCGGGCUGCGGCGGCACAACGGCCUGUGGCGGCGCGCGGUGGAGGCCUGUGGGGGCGUUCUUGUGUGCGCUGCGGGAUGUGCGCUGUGGUGGUGGAGGGGGUCCUUGUGAGGAGAGCAAGGCCCCGUGAGGGGAGCAGGGCCCGUGUGGAGCUCUUCAUGCCUUCACUGCUGCUCCUGCGGCCUGCCCGCAUUGCUUCCUCUGUGGAAGUGAGGUGGAGUGUCUGUGGUGGUGGAGGCGUACUCAGGGCCUGCAGUUUUCCAAGACAGGGUAGAGCGUGGAAUGGGAACGAUGUCUGCCAAACUUACAGCUUUUAAGCUUAAAAGAUUUAAACGAAGAUUGGAAAGGAUCUCAAUGCACUGAGUACAAGAGGGGGAAACAAAGAUGGAGGGAGAAUACAGGAGUCACUGCAUCUGCUAACAUAUGGCAGCAGCCCCGUUGCUGUGCUCAUGGGCAGGAUUGUGCUGCUGUCUGAGGUGCUGAAGCCAGAGGGCCGCCAGGGGGUCCUGGAGAUCCCCAUAUACCCAGCGGUGUGCCCGGUGCCCCCGUUACACAAGUCAAAACUACACC